AUGACCAUUAACAAGGCUCAAGGGCAGACCAUCCCGAUUGUUGGUGUCUACCUACCAAAUCCCGUGUUCUCAUAUGGUCAGCUCUAUGUUGCUUUGUCUCGAGCCACCGCGAAGAGAAACAUAAAGAUACUCAUUUAGAAGGAGAAGCCGAAGGAGAAGACCAACAAGCAUAAGGACAAUCCAAAGAAGCGAAAAAGAACGACCGUGUCCUUACUGACGUGGAUGAAGAACAUCGUCUACAAGGAAGUCCUUACAGGUUGA
Molecule: ribosomal RNA, 261 nt
Filed under: Triticum aestivum (bread wheat)
Lineage: Eukaryota; Viridiplantae; Streptophyta; Magnoliopsida; Poales; Poaceae
Description: partial small subunit ribosomal RNA
Source: RNAcentral